UGCUCCUGAUGUUAGCGGCGGACGGGUGAGUAACACGUGGGUAACCUGCCUGUAAGACUGGGAUAACUCCGGGAAACCGGGGCUAAUACCGGAUGGUUGUCUGAACCGCAUGGUUCAGACAUAAAAGGUGGCUUCGGCUACCACUUACAGAUGGACCCGCGGCGCAUAGCUAGUUGGUGAGGUAACGGCUCACCAAGGCGACGAUGCGUAGCCGACCUGAGAGGGUGAUCGGCCACACUGGGACUGAGACACGGCCCAGACUCCUACGGGAGGCAGCAGUAGGGAAUCUUCCGCAAUGGACGAAAGUCUGACGGAGCAACGCCGCGUGAGUGAUGAAGGUUUUCGGAUCGUAAAGCUCUGUUGUUAGGGAAGAACAAGUGCCGUUCAAAUAGGGCGGCACCUUGACGGUACCUAACCAGAAAGCCACGGCUAACUACGUGCCAGCAGCCGCGGUAAUACGUAGGUGGCAAGCGUUGUCCGGAAUUAUUGGGCGUAAAGGGCUCGCAGGCGGUUUCUUAAGUCUGAUGUGAAAGCCCCCGGCUCAACCGGGGAGGGUCAUUGGAAACUGGGGAACUUGAGUGCAGAAGAGGAGAGUGGAAUUCCACGUGUAGCGGUGAAAUGCGUAGAGAUGUGGAGGAACACCAGUGGCGAAGGCGACUCUCUGGUCUGUAACUGACGCUGAGGAGCGAAAGCGUGGGGAGCGAACAGGAUUAGAUACCCUGGUAGUCCACGCCGUAAACGAUGAGUGCUAAGUGUUAGGGGGUUUCCGCCCCUUAGUGCUGCAGCUAACGCAUUAAGCACUCCGCCUGGGGAGUACGGUCGCAAGACUGAAACUCAAAGGAAUUGACGGGGGCCCGCACAAGCGGUGGAGCAUGUGGUUUAAUUCGAAGCAACGCGAAGAACCUUACCAGGUCUUGACAUCCUCUGACAAUCCUAGAGAUAGGACGUCCCCUUCGGGGGCAGAGUGACAGGUGGUGCAUGGUGUCGUCA
This 990-nucleotide ribosomal RNA is filed under the name Bacillus amyloliquefaciens. RNAcentral describes it as "bacterial SSU rRNA". It matches the Rfam family "Bacterial small subunit ribosomal RNA", at positions 81 to 1057 of the family's 1533-position model. Lineage: Bacteria; Bacillati; Bacillota; Bacilli; Caryophanales; Bacillaceae. The record is from RNAcentral.